GACGAACGCUGGCGGCGUGCUUAACACAUACAAGUCGAACGGAAAGGCCCUGCUUGCAGGGUGCUCGAGUGGCGAACGGGUGAGUAACACGUGGGUGAUCUGCCCCUUACUUUGGGAUAAGCCUGGGAAACUGGGUCUAAUACUGGAUAGGACCAUGCUGUAGGUGGUGUGGUGGAAAGAUUAGUUUCGGUAAGGGAUGAGCUCGCGGCCUAUCAGCUUGUUGGUGGGGUAAUGGCCUACCAAGGCGUCGACGGGUAGCCGGCCUGAGAGGGUGGACGGCCACAUUGGGACUGAGAUACGGCCCAGACUCCUACGGGAGGCAGCAGUGGGGAAUAUUGCACAAUGGGCGCAAGCCUGAUGCAGCGACGCCGCGUGGGGAUGACGGCCUUCGGGUUGUAAACUCCUUGCAGCCAUGACGAAGCCCUUGUGGUGACGGUAGUGGUAGAAGAAGCACCGGCUAACUACGUG
This 468-nucleotide ribosomal RNA is filed under the name uncultured bacterium. Its description in RNAcentral is "partial 16S ribosomal RNA". It matches the Rfam family "Bacterial small subunit ribosomal RNA", at positions 28 to 507 of the family's 1533-position model. The record is from RNAcentral.